UACGGGGGGGGCAAGCGUUGUUCGGAAUUACUGGGCGUAAAGGGCUCGUAGGCGGCCAACUAAGUCAGACGUGAAAUCCCUCGGCUUAACCGGGGAACUGCGUCUGAUACUGGAUGGCUUGAGAUUGGGAGAGGGAUGCGGAAUUCCAGGUGUAGCGGUGAAAUGCGUAGAUAUCUGGAGGAACACCGGUGGCGAAGGCGGCAUCCUGGACCAACACUGACGCUGAGGAGCGAAAGCGUGGGGAGCGAACGGG
This 253-nucleotide ribosomal RNA is filed under the name uncultured bacterium. RNAcentral describes it as "partial 16S ribosomal RNA". It matches the Rfam family "Bacterial small subunit ribosomal RNA", at positions 524 to 776 of the family's 1533-position model. The record is from RNAcentral.